Long non-coding RNA from Brassica napus (rape), 1015 nucleotides. RefSeq lists it as uncharacterized. The transcript has 5 exons. Lineage: Eukaryota; Viridiplantae; Streptophyta; Magnoliopsida; Brassicales; Brassicaceae. The record is from RefSeq and is a predicted model, not a curated record.
CAAGGGCAGGGAUGUUAAAAUGGGCUUGUCCUACCCAUUUACGUCCAAGCCCGUUUAAUUUUCGUGUCCAUAUAAAGUCCAUUUACUUAACAAUAUUAAACGGGCUUCGUCGGGUUUGUCCACUUGUGUCCAUUUAAUAAACGGGUUUUGAUAAAAAUAACUGGACAGCCCAUUAAGUUCAUUUAAUUUUUUUUUCUCUUCAACCUAAUCUAUCGUCGUCGUUCUUCCUCCUUCUUCACCUCCUUGGCUCUUUGCCUCCUUACGAAAGAUCAAACUGCUCCAAAUGAGUUUCUGAUUCGAAUCAUGAAGCUUCUAGGGUUUCGAUUUGUCUUCUAGAGUCGUUGUUCUUCACCUCCUUGCCUCCUUUCAUCUCGUCACGAGAUUCCCGAGAUUCCCGUGUCUUCUACUUCUUCUUCUUCACUCUCUCCAGCUCGUGUUUCCUCGUAUCAUACAAUCAAGGUUUCACGGACAUAUGCAAAGGAGUCUCAAAAAUUGCAACCAAAGCUGAGAUUAAAAGUGAGAUGGACUAUGAUACUGUGCACACAAUGGCGCUUCUUGAAGCUCAACGUGAAUACAUGGACAUGAAUGAUGAAGAUGCUGAAUUUGAUAUAGAUGAAGAAAUGGCAGAAACAGAAACAGAAGCAGAAGCAGAAGUUCAGUGUGAACCACAAGCCACUGCAUCAACACAAGCAGCGAAACCUCAACGUGCCAUUGAAGAUCUCUUUGAUGAAAAUGAAGAUGUUGGAAAGAAAGCAAGUAAUUAUGGAGUGGAGUCUUCAGCAUCAAAAGAUUGAUAUGUUUGCUGGAACAAAAAUCCUGGUAGACGUUCAAGAAGGAAAAGAGUAACUUAUAGACACUUAGUGUGAAGUGUGAACUUUAUUUUUCAAUUAUGUUGUGACUGUGAUUUGUAAACUUUGAAUUUUUAGUUGAAGCAAAACAAUGUAAGGUUCUGGAUUCAUAUUUUAUUUGACAGGUAUUUAACAGGUUUCAUCGAAAAGAAAUGCUAUGAUAUAAA